GGCCCUGUAGUGAAGUUCAUGUUGAGUUGCAAGCUCAUCGAUGUAUGUUGAAGGCAUACCAGGGUCU
RNAcentral lists this transfer RNA (67 nucleotides) under Megaceryle lugubris (crested kingfisher). RNAcentral's name for it is "tRNA-Cys". The record is from RNAcentral. Lineage: Eukaryota; Metazoa; Chordata; Aves; Coraciiformes; Cerylidae.